Long non-coding RNA from Hordeum vulgare subsp. vulgare (domesticated barley), 1426 nucleotides. RefSeq lists it as uncharacterized. Lineage: Eukaryota; Viridiplantae; Streptophyta; Magnoliopsida; Poales; Poaceae. The transcript has 2 exons. The record is from RefSeq and is a predicted model, not a curated record.
UUUCCUGCCUACUGUAUGUGCAUAACGUCAUUUUAACUUAAGUCCUUUCAAUGAUAUGAUACAGUUUGUUCCAUGCGCUAUCUGCCAUAUCAUAGAAGAAUACAUCCAUCGCAUUGAACCAUAUGCGAUGCAAGGAGACAUGAAUACUUGGAUUGCUUACUUUGUUACAUUUGAGAGGCUGCAGUAUGAGGUUACAUUUCAGUGUUCAGACUUGGUGCCGCAGAUCGUGGGUGAGGGGUGGCAGCAGCUUCUAGAUGAUUAUGUUGUGUGUCCAGGGGACACGAUGUAUAUCUACAUGAGUAACGGAAGCUACAGGCUCUCAGUCGACGUCAAGAGGGAUGAUGUCCAAAAGACACCUCUCACUUAUGUUGGUAUGACUAUUCAUUUUGUAUUAUCGUGCUUCUACACGACAUAUUUAAUAUGGUUUGUCUGUUUCUGUUUUGUGUUAAUUUUAAUACAAUAAAUAUUUAGACAGAAGCAUAUGAUCUGUUGUGAACGUGUUACUAUUUUUUAUAGUUAUUCAACCUUUAACCUAGAUGAAAAACCAAAGGAUACGGCUAGUAUUUAGGAUCAUGAUUAAUAUGUUUAAGCAAAAUUUAAAUUCUAACUGUACAAUAGAGCUAGUUUUACUAGUUCUAUCUUAUCGGUAGUUACGUCAUCCAUACGAAUGAAAAUGUAUUAAACCUUCUGUAUCAACUUCAAUUCUUAUAGUUACUGUGCUUUAGAUUCAUUGUCUAAUAACGUGUUGUUUUUAAUACGUGCGGUACGAAGCCCUGCGUGGUCUCAGCCGUAGGAAGAAAAAGAUCAUCAAUAAGUGCAUCAUUACAAGGGGGAUACACCUGAAAUAUUCUGAAAUGAAAAAAAUGGUCAGAAACGCGUUUGGACCAACAAAAUCUCCAUGCUGCGUCUUAGUUCACAGGAUGAGCAACUGUGACAUUUCUGCUGGCUACAUGCGAAUUCCAAAACGAGUUGUUGAACGUAUCGAGAAGAAAACAUGGACUCUUGAGGAAGAAGGACAACUUGUGCUUGUCGAUGAUGUUGAUGCAUAUGUUGAUGGUAGAUACAAGAAGCUUACAGAUGAGAGGCUGGUUCUCUAGGGAGGUUUCAGGACUUAUGCACAUUUGCUUGGUUUGGAAGUCGACGAUUUGGUAUCCAUUUUUUUCCAGAAGGUUGAAGACCCUGCAGCGAUAAAAGUAUGGUUCACUAUCUUAUCUUAGAUGACUUGAUGGGGACUUUAUGUAAUAUGGAUGUUAUAUCGAGAACAAUGAACGGAUAACUUUUGCGUAUGGCAAACAUGUUAGCUGCAUUUCAUGUAUUAUAUCUAGACAUGGCUUUUGAUUGUCUUGUUGGGCAGGCAAAGUUUGAAAAAAUGUUAAAUGACUAAUCACGUUGAUUAUGGCAGUGCUAUUGGUUGUCUCUUGAUUCA